AGCGAACGCUGGCGGCGUGCCUAACACAUGCAAGUCGAACGUGAAAGGGAGCAAUCCCAAGUAAAGUGGCGUACGGGUGAGUAACACGUAGGUAAUCUACCCCAGAAUCUGGAAUAACCGGCCGAAAGGCUGGCUAAUACUGGAUAGAGCGACGGAAUCCGUAAUUGGGUUUUUCGGGAAAGGGAGCCUGUAAAAAGGCCUUCGUUCUGGGAUGAGCCUGCGUCCCAUCAGCUAGUUGGUGAGGUAAAAGCUUACCAAGGCAACGACGGGUAGCUGGUCUGAGAGGACGAUCAGCCACACUGGAACUGAAACACGGUCCAGACUCCUACGGGAGGCAGCAGUGGGGAAUCUUGCGCAAUGGACGAAAGUCUGACGCAGCAACGCCGCGUGAGUGAAGAAGGCCUUCGGGUUGUAAAGCUCUGUCGAGUGGGACGAAAAUGCUUGGAGUUCACAGCUCCAGGAACUGACGGUACCACUAAAGGAAGCACCGGCUAACUCCGUG
This 502-nucleotide ribosomal RNA is filed under the name uncultured bacterium. RNAcentral's name for it is "partial 16S ribosomal RNA". It matches the Rfam family "Bacterial small subunit ribosomal RNA", at positions 29 to 507 of the family's 1533-position model. The record is from RNAcentral.